CAGGCCUAACACAUGCAAGUCGAGCGGGCACUUCGGUGUCAGCGGCGGACGGGUGAGUAACGCGUGGGAACGUGCCUUCUGGUUCGGAAUAACUCAGGGAAACUUGAGCUAAUACCGGAUACGCCCUUUUGGGGAAAGGUUUACUGCCGGAAGAUCGGCCCGCGUCUGAUUAGCUAGUUGGUGGGGUAGCGGCCUACCAAGGCGACGAUCAGUAGCUGGUCUGAGAGGAUGAUCAGCCACACUGGGACUGAGACACGGCCCAGACUCCUACGGGAGGCAGCAGUGGGGAAUAUUGGACAAUGGGCGCAAGCCUGAUCCAGCCAUGCCGCGUGAGUGAUGAAGGCCUUAGGGUUGUAAAGCUCUUUUAUCCGGGACGAUAAUGACGGUACCGGAGGAAUAAGCCCCGGCUAACUUCGUGCCA
This 421-nucleotide ribosomal RNA is filed under the name uncultured bacterium. Its description in RNAcentral is "bacterial SSU rRNA". It matches the Rfam family "Bacterial small subunit ribosomal RNA", at positions 43 to 510 of the family's 1533-position model. The record is from RNAcentral.